Molecule: long non-coding RNA, 726 nt
Organism: Medicago truncatula (barrel medic)
Lineage: Eukaryota; Viridiplantae; Streptophyta; Magnoliopsida; Fabales; Fabaceae
Exons: 2
Source: RefSeq, a predicted model, not a curated record
CAAUGCAAAUUGCUCAUGCAAAGUGUUUCAGGCUGAAGGAAUACCUUGUAGACACAUACUUUGUGUUUUAAAGGGAAAAAAAUUCAAUGAAAUACCAAGUAAGCACAUUGUGAAUAGGUGGACUAAGUUUGCAAAUAGAACACCUAUUUUUGACAUAGCUGACAAUGUUUUGGAGGAAGAUAGCAAACUAAUUUCUGAUGUGUGGAGUCACUUACAUAGCUGUGUGGAGAAGGCUGGCAAAGAUAAGGGAAAAUUGCUUCUGUUGUUAAAUGGGGCUGUUAACAUGGAAAAACAAUUGGACGAGUUUGAAGGGAGUUCUAAGAGAAACAGGACAGAUGAUUUGAUUAUUGGGUCCAAUAUUCCUGAGGAAGUAGAAAUCCUUCCACCAAAUUUUGCAAAGACUAAAGGUAGUGGGAAAAGAAUCAAAGGUGGCAAAGAGAAGGCUAUUGAACAACAACAAAAAAAGGCAAGACUUUGUAGGUUAUGCGGUGAGUAUGUGCAUCAUGACAGCCGCAAUUGUCCCCAAAGAUCAUCUCCAUAAUUUUGGAUUGGAAGAAUGGCAUAGAAGAAGGAAGAAGGAAGUUAGACAAACAAGAUGAAUAACAUAGAAGAAUGAAUGUCAUAUUUUGAUUUGAAAGUUCUGUUUUGUAUCAGUAACUUAAGUUCUGUUUUGUAUCAGUACUUGUUUUGAUUUGAUAUCAGUACUCCUAUUAUUGCUUGGUUCAA